Molecule: long non-coding RNA, 1425 nt
Organism: Dermochelys coriacea (leatherback sea turtle)
Lineage: Eukaryota; Metazoa; Chordata; Testudines; Dermochelyidae
Exons: 3
Source: RefSeq, a predicted model, not a curated record
GGGCGGGGGCGGGGGCGGGGCUUCAACGGUCCGGGCCGCGCCCUCUGUGACAUCAGCGCCCCCGUUAGCUCGUGCCCGCCGCUGCCGGUGUAGCGUGUUAAACGGCUCCGCGGCGGAAGGCGCUGCCGGCAGCAGGGGAGGAAGCCUCCAGGCCUAUUAUGCAUCCUCUUCCUUAAUCAACUGGUGAGUGAAGGAAUCUAAAUCAACAAUUUCUGCGUAUUUUAAGAUUUCUUUUUAGUGAAGUUUCUGGCUCUUAUGGCUGCUAGGAGAAUCUCUGAAGCAUGAACUGACAUAUUCUGUCCUGCUGAGUGUGCAGCCAGCUUCAGUCUACUGUUUCUCCUGACAUUCCCAAAAAGCGGAAUGAGGUUAACAAGACUCAGGCAAGUUUCUGCCUACAGGAUUCCGAACAACAAUUGUGAAACAGACAAGAACACUGCCAGUUUCACUAUGCUGCAACUAGGGAAAGAUAUGAACAGUGAAAGUACUUACAGGAAAAUGACUAAAAAAGGCUUGGGAAAGAAUAGAGUAGCAAACACCCUUCUUACUCUCCAUCAGCCAAGAGGCUCUGAAGUUGGAGGAUGAGAAAAAGCUCCUUCCAAGCAGCUAGAAAGGGACAACAGUUUUUAAAUCCAUCAGCCAGAGACCAAAAAAAAAAGAACAAGGUGCCAUCUUCUUUUAUGAAUCCCAGUGCCCUCUCUGUUCCCAACAACUGGGGCAGAGUUAUUGGCUUCUCACCUGGCCAUUGUCCACUGACACGUCUGGUGUGUGGGGGCAUUCAUCUUUCAUGCUGCCUAAGCCUAGUUCACUUAGUUCUCUGGCUAGUAAAUACUUAAUAAGUUUUUCAUGCCCAGACAGAGCUUUCCUUUGAGCUUUAUGAAAUAAAAGUGCUAUGUAAGCACUAAAAGUGUCAAUUACAAUUAUUACAGGCAGAAUUAAGUCACAUACUAUGAUCAAAUAUUUUUCCCUUCCAGUUUAGUUUUUGGAUAUAUCUGAUUUGUGUUAGUAUUUAUGAGUGCAUUUUACAACAUUCCUGGCUCGCUUUAGAGGAACCUAUCAAUGGAUUUAGAAUUCUAGAUCCAAAUACUGCAAACACUUACAUGCUUAACUUUACAUAAUCAGCAGUCAAUUCUUCAGUGAGACCCACUUCUGUACAUAAAAUUAUUUUUUUGCAGGACUGCAAUCCAAUCUGUAGUAUCCCUGGCAUGUAGCCAAUUCUGGGACUCAAACUGUCAACCAGGCAACAUUUAGCAGGAUGUUAACAAAUGACAAACAGGGAAUCUGUUAAAGCCAACUCUGCAUUUCAAAAACUCAAAUCAAUAUUUGUGUGCAGAAAGAUGGUCACCUAACGCUUCUGAGAUUUGUGUUUUUCAUCUCUGCAUACUACUAGCUACAUAGUACUCAACACAUUGUUGCGAUGGAAGUUUC